Stegodyphus mimosarum is the source of this 72-nucleotide non-coding RNA. The record is from Rfam. Lineage: Eukaryota; Metazoa; Arthropoda; Arachnida; Araneae; Eresidae.
GCCUUCGUGGUGUAGUGGUCAGCACGCUCGGUGCGUAUCGAGAGGUCCGUGGUUCGAGUCCCACCGAGGGCA